AUGCUAGCUGGGAGGGAACCCAACACUUAUGCCAACCUUGCUUUAAAAAUGCAGAUCUCUUGUGCACAUCUUUGCCUGAAUGAGAAGAAGAGUGGUAUUUGCUUCUGAGAACUCGAAAUAAAUGUAAAAUGUCUGGAAAACCAAAAAUUAGGAGGGACUCUGGAUUCAUACCUCAAGACUGACAAUUUUGUAUGCGGAGCACAAAAGUGACUAUGGCUUGACUGCUUCUUGGUCUGUGCAAAUAUUUCUAAUGUUCAGAGGACUGUAUUAAGAUCAGUGGGUUCUACUCUAGCACUGAAGAGCAGAACCCACAACACCUUGAAAUCAGUGAAAAUAUUUCUCAGCAGUCAG
This 351-nucleotide long non-coding RNA is filed under the name Pelusios castaneus (West African mud turtle). RNAcentral describes it as "lncRNA (ENSPCEG00000004699.1)". Lineage: Eukaryota; Metazoa; Chordata; Testudines; Pelomedusidae. The record is from RNAcentral.